Molecule: long non-coding RNA, 880 nt
Filed under: Selaginella moellendorffii
Lineage: Eukaryota; Viridiplantae; Streptophyta; Lycopodiopsida; Selaginellales; Selaginellaceae
Description: long non-coding RNA (SMOE_LNC001379)
Source: RNAcentral
CCUAAGCAGGCUACAGCAAGACUUAGAAGGCCUAUUGACUUUACAGCUUGGACCAGAAGCAGCUACUGAUCAGUUGAGAUGUUGUUUUUGACGAGACAACUCUCUAUAAGGAUUAUCUCUCGUCACGCACUCAAGGUACUCACUCUGAUGAGCAAACUAAUCCAGGAUGGCUGCAGUUGCUAGAAGAUGAGGAACCCCAGCUGCCAAAGUUUUUCCUCAACUUCCAAUAACUCCUAGCACAAAGGCUAGCGAUAGCUCUCCUCCAGACCACUUUCUUCCAUGGUAAGUUUUCCAGGCGGCUCCUCCGUCUCCAAAAGCUUCAAGCUCUUCAAGCCCAGUGCUUCGGGUGCUUAAGCGUUUCCGACAAGUCACGCGAUCAGGACGCAGAAGCUAAUCCGCAGCUCAGCCGACUCCAUCUGAGAGCUCUUCUUGUCCAAAACAGUAGCCAUGGCUGACUCUGCUACAAAGAUCUCCUUGAUCUUUUGUACCAGAGUUCGAGAUAUCAGCCAUGGCUACUGUCUGGGGUUCCAGGUGCUGAGAGAUGAACGACAGGUAUUCUUCACGUUGCUGAAAUUCUCGGGUAAACACUUUGGAAUAUUUGCCUUUCUUUUUCUUUCUCUCUUGACUCAUUUUUGGCUCUCUCCCUGGCUCAGGUUACGAGCAAACCUUUGGAAACAAGUUGAGGCAAUUGAAGGCUGCCAAGCAGCACGCCUGGCCAUGGCUCGACGAGGCUCUAGCUUUGCAUUGCUCUAGCUUUUUCUUCAUCCUUCUUUUUUAUCUAGGAUCCAGUCAAUGUGGAGUCAGAGUGAGAUAGCAUUUAUUCUUUCUGGUUUUUUCUCUCGGCCUGAUGCUCGUGAGUUUCUCUUUCUCGCGUUUUCGC